Molecule: ribosomal RNA, 1355 nt
Filed under: uncultured bacterium
Lineage: Bacteria
Description: bacterial SSU rRNA
Rfam family: Bacterial small subunit ribosomal RNA
Source: RNAcentral
UAAUACCAUCAAUUCGAGGGAAACAGAGGAGGAGCUUGUUCCUUUGACCGUUAGCGGGCGGACGGGGGAGUAACACGUGGGUUACCUACUUAUAAGGCUGGGAUAAUUUCGGGAAACCGGAGUUAAUACCGGAUAAUAUAUUAACCGCAUGGUUCAAUAGGGAAAAGCCGGUUUUGCUGUCACUUAUAGAUGGAUCCGCGCCGCAUUAGCUAGUUGGUAAGGUAACGGCUUACCAAGGCAACGAUGCGUAGCCGCCCUGAGAGGGUGAUCGCCCACACUGGAAAUGAGACACGGUCCAGACUCUUACGGGAGGCAGCAGUAGGGAAUCUUCCGCAAUGGGCGAAAGCCUGACGGAGCAACGCCGCGCGAGUGAUGAAGGUCUUCGGAUCGUAAAACUCUGUUAUUAGGGAAGAACAAAUGUGUAAGUAACUAUGCACGUCUUGACGGUACCUAAUCAGAAAGCCACGGCUAACUACGUGCCAGCAGCCGCGGUAAUACGUAGGUGGCAAGCGUUAUCCGGAAUUAUUGGGCGUAAAGCGCGCGUAGGCGGUUUUUUAAGUCUGAUGUGAAAGCCCACGGCUCAACCGUGGAGGGUCAUUGGAAACUGGAAAACUUGAGUGCAGAAGAGGAAAGUGGAAUUCCAUGUGUAGCGGUGAAAUGCGCAGAGAUAUGGAGGAACACCAGUGGCGAAGGCGACUUUCUGGUCUGUAACUGACGCUGAUGUGCGAAAGCGUGGGGAUCAAACAGGAUUAGAUACCCUGGUAGUCCACGCCGUAAACGAUGAGUGCUAAGUGUUAGGGGGUUUCCGCCCCUUAGUGCUGCAGCUAACGCAUUAAGCACUCCGUCUGGGGAGUACGACCGCAAGGUUGAAACUCAAAGGAAUUGACGGGGACCCGCACAAGCGGUGGAGCAUGUGGUUUAAUUCGAAGCAACGCGAAGAACCUUACCAAAUCUUGACAUCCUCUGACCCCUCUAGAGAUAGAGUUUUCCCCUUCGGGGGACAGAGUGACAGGUGGUGCAUGGUUGUCGUCAGCUCGUGUCGUGAGAUGUUGGGUUAAGUCCCGCAACGAGCGCAACCCUUAAGCUUAGUUGCCAUCAUUAAGUGGGGCACUCUAAGUUGACUGCCGGUGACAAGCCGGAGGAACGGUGGGGAUGACGUCAAAUCAUCAUGCCCCUUAUGAUUUGGGCUACACACGUGCUACAAUGGACAAUACAAAGGGUAUCGAAACCGUGAGGCCAAGCAAAUCCCAUAAAGUUGUUCUCAGUUCGAAUUGUAGUCUGCAACUUCACUAUAUGAAGCUGGAAUCGCUUAGAAUCGUAAAACCGCCUGCUACGGGGAAUACUUUCCGGGUCUU